GUCUAGUGGUUAGGAUUUAUGGCUCUCACCCAUAAGGCCGGGGUUCGAUUCCCCG
RNAcentral lists this transfer RNA (55 nucleotides) under Caenorhabditis remanei. It matches the Rfam family "tRNA", at positions 10 to 63 of the family's 71-position model. From Rfam's summary of the family: Transfer RNA (tRNA) molecules are approximately 80 nucleotides in length. Their secondary structure includes four short double-helical elements and three loops (D, anti-codon, and T loops). Further hydrogen bonds mediate the characteristic L-shaped molecular structure. tRNAs have two regions of fundamental functional importance: the anti-codon, which is responsible for specific mRNA codon recognition, and the 3' end, to which the tRNAs corresponding amino acid is attached (by aminoacyl-tRNA synthetases). tRNAs cope with the degeneracy of the genetic code in two manners: having more than one tRNA (with a specific anti-codon) for a particular amino acid; and 'wobble' base-pairing, i.e. permitting non-standard base-pairing at the 3rd anti-codon position. The record is from Rfam by way of RNAcentral. Lineage: Eukaryota; Metazoa; Nematoda; Chromadorea; Rhabditida; Rhabditidae.